CCAACGUUCCCCUGUGUCUCCACCAUCCUCUAUCAUGUGUCUACUCAUCCAAGUCUUCAUCCCUGAGAAGUGUGUGCACUCCAGCGAAUCCACAAUCUCCCCCUCUAUCUGCAAAGACAGUAAACCUCUUCAUUCUCCAGUAUUGCAUUGCUCCAUUACUACUUACCCAUUGCUACUCAUUUACGCAUUUUCUCUUUUAAUAAAAUCACUGUGUGUAUUGCCCGCUAAUCCGGUCUCUGAGUCUGGCAUUUCCAUAACAGUAGACCAGAACAAACACCACCACAUGAUUUCCACGAACCCAAUUCAGGAGAUCGUGGAUUCACUGCGGCGGGCCUUCGCAUCCACAACAACAUCGAUCACCACAUCAGUCACUCCUUCAGCACCUGUUCGUGUGGGUGAGUGCUCCAGUGCACAGAAACCAUUUGGAACCAAGAUGGCCCAGUCACCCAGCCAUUCAGUAGCUUCGUAGCUCAUUUCUGAGAAGUGUUUGGAAGACCACUUGGUGAUUCAUCUGUGGGUGAGCAAUUGUAUCACUUAAACGAGUAUGCAGACCUGUAUGGAGGACUAACAGGGCCAAGAGUCUUCUUCCUACCAUCAACAGCCAAAGUAUGCCAGCUCUCCAAAACCAGGUACGGAGCCCAUGGUUGUGCACAAUUCUCAUUGCCCAGGGUCUUUGUACUGCAGAGUAUGAGGGCAUAUAAUCUCUUUAUGCCCUGUCCAUCCUCUUGAACCUGUGGUGAGUUGUAUUCAUACUCCCAGUUCUCAUGCAUCUCCACUUACCACUUAAGUCACCCUUACUGCUCGUGAUGUCUCUCUUUCAGUAAUCACCCUCCUCGACUCUGGGUCAGCCAGCAACUUUAUCUUGGGGGAGCUCUGCCAUCAACUCCAGAUCAAAAGAAGACCCAUCGAAUCAAGUCCAGUCGGUAACAGGAAGACCACUCAGCCACUGUCAUAUGCGUUUUCGUGUGGGACACAUCCAGCUUGGCCAACUCCAUCAAGAAUCUCUGGAUUUUCUGGUUCUGGAGGAAUCCACCACUGGCAUCAUCCUGGGGCGUUCAUAGUUACAUAAACAAAACCCAGUGCUAUCCUGGAAAAUAGUAGAAGUCUUGAAGUGGGGUGAAGGCUGUUACCCUGAAUGUUUCCCUCUCCUUCCACAAAUUCUUAUUGACCUGUUUCACAUUGACCUGUGAAAGUUCUCCCAGUUCACUCCACGUCCAUCAAGAGUCCGGUAAAUCAACAAUCAGUGGAUAUACCUCCUUACUACGCCCCCUUCAGUGACAUAUUUUGUCUAAGAAAGCUUCCCAACUGCCUCCCCACAGGUCAUGGGACAGUGCCAUAGACCUAUUUCUGGGUGAACCAGUGCUCCAUGGCAAGAUCUAUCCAUUAUCCAUCCCAACCCAGAUAAGCUCUUCUUUGUUGAAGGGAAGAAAGUGUGGCUCUCGAUGAGUGACAUCUGGCUGUGUUUGUGUCUCCCGACACUGUGGUGGCCUCUUGAAAUAUCUAGUGAACUAGGAAGGAUAUGGUCCUGAAGAAAGAUCCUAGGUCCUCAGAUAUGAUAUCCUUGAUCCUGAGCUCCUCACUACUUCCAUGUGUCCAACCCUGACUGUCCUGAGUCCAGGAGCAGAGGUCGGCCACCAAAACAUUGGGUUCCCUCGGCCCUCAGGAACGGCCCAUGGAGUGGGUGCUGUCACGGUGUCACCAGGCUCCACCGUCACUCCCUCACUCAGUUCAAAGUUAACAGAAUACUGAUCACCAGCACCUCAUCAGCACCCUCAUCAGCUCCUGUAUAAAAGCACACACUUCUCCCAAGUUCAUUGUCUGGUCUACUAGUCGGUGUACGGACCACUUACCUGCAGACUUACUUUGUGCGAUUCUCU
Molecule: long non-coding RNA, 1877 nt
Organism: Sinocyclocheilus rhinocerous
Lineage: Eukaryota; Metazoa; Chordata; Actinopteri; Cypriniformes; Cyprinidae
Exons: 3
Source: RefSeq, a predicted model, not a curated record